CCGUUGUACACACCGCCCGUCACACCAUGGGAGUGGGUUUCACCAGAAGUAGGUAGUCUAACCGCAAGGAGGGCGCUUACCACGGUGGGAUUCAUGACUGGGUG
RNAcentral lists this ribosomal RNA (104 nucleotides) under uncultured bacterium. RNAcentral's name for it is "partial 16S ribosomal RNA". It matches the Rfam family "Bacterial small subunit ribosomal RNA", at positions 1378 to 1482 of the family's 1533-position model. The record is from RNAcentral.